This is a transfer RNA of Alistipes sp. CAG:157, 75 nucleotides long. It matches the Rfam family "tRNA". Rfam says of the family: Transfer RNA (tRNA) molecules are approximately 80 nucleotides in length. Their secondary structure includes four short double-helical elements and three loops (D, anti-codon, and T loops). Further hydrogen bonds mediate the characteristic L-shaped molecular structure. tRNAs have two regions of fundamental functional importance: the anti-codon, which is responsible for specific mRNA codon recognition, and the 3' end, to which the tRNAs corresponding amino acid is attached (by aminoacyl-tRNA synthetases). tRNAs cope with the degeneracy of the genetic code in two manners: having more than one tRNA (with a specific anti-codon) for a particular amino acid; and 'wobble' base-pairing, i.e. permitting non-standard base-pairing at the 3rd anti-codon position. Lineage: Bacteria; Pseudomonadati; Bacteroidota; Bacteroidia; Bacteroidales; Rikenellaceae. The record is from Rfam.
CGGGAUGUAGUUCAGUCCGGUUAGAAUGUUGGUCUGGGGGACCAAAGGUCGCUGGUUCGAGUCCAGUCAUCCCGA